AGAGAUUUUUGGAAACGUUU
RNAcentral lists this small nuclear RNA (20 nucleotides) under Arabidopsis thaliana (thale cress). RNAcentral's name for it is "snRNA_15825". The record is from RNAcentral. Lineage: Eukaryota; Viridiplantae; Streptophyta; Magnoliopsida; Brassicales; Brassicaceae.